Molecule: long non-coding RNA, 720 nt
Organism: Aphis gossypii (cotton aphid)
Lineage: Eukaryota; Metazoa; Arthropoda; Insecta; Hemiptera; Aphididae
Exons: 3
Source: RefSeq, a predicted model, not a curated record
AGGUUUUUGCACCACUGCAACUGUGGGAUACAUUUUGGAAUGCAUCAGAUGGUAGGUACAGUGAUUUGCCUGCAAUGCGAAAUCAGAACUAUGCUCAAGACCACCACCGUACGCACGGUUUGAUAUAAUAUUGAAACUGACUAAUAUUCAAAGUAAGGAGGAACGACAUAAAAUGGAUUCGCUGAAUGAAAAUUUAGCCAUGUACACCCAGUAGACGGAGUUAACACAUGUGGAUGAGGCGUCUCUUCUAGUGAUUAAACGUCUGUUAAUUUUAUGACUCGCGGGGAUGAACGGUCCGUUUACAAGACUCAUGCAGACGCGGAUUUAAGCGGGGUGUACGGGGCACCUCUAUAAUGGGCGGUGGUGGAGGCGGUAACAUGGUCGUACAUAACUGCGUGCAGCAACCAGCUCGCGAUAAGGAGAGACGCGGACCAUAAAUCUCCAUCAGAUCAAGUUACCACGAUUUACUGCCAAAACAGGUAUUCGUGUUGAAUAACUAUUUUUCCGUCGUCGGACCACGCGAAGCAUCCGUCGAGAAACGACCUCUAAGAGGCGCGACGACGGUCGUUAAAUUUUGGGAUUUGGGAGUCUCCAACGCGUUUCUUAUAUUACAACGACUAUAAAAACGAAACCCAUUUAUUACCGGUGGAAUUUUCUUGUGUUUCUAACUGCAGGCUUUCGAAAAUAUAUAUUAUACGGCGUGUAGGACGUACACAGCAA